This 253-nucleotide ribosomal RNA is filed under the name uncultured bacterium. RNAcentral describes it as "partial 16S ribosomal RNA". It matches the Rfam family "Bacterial small subunit ribosomal RNA", at positions 524 to 776 of the family's 1533-position model. The record is from RNAcentral.
UACAUGUGGGGCAAGCGUUAUUCGGAAUUAUUGGGCGUAAAGGGCGCGUAGGCGGCCUGGCAAGUGGAAGGUGAAAUCCCUCGGCUUAACCGAGGAACUGCCCUCCAAACUGCUUGGCUUGAGUCCGGGAGAGGUGAGUGGAAUUCCCAGUGUAGCGGUGAAAUGCGUAGAUAUUGGGAGGAACACCAGUGGCGAAGGCGGCUCACUGGACCGGAACUGACGCUGAGGCGCGAAAGCGUGGGGAGCAAACGGG